UCGAGAAUCUUCGGCAAUGGGGGCAACCCUGACCGAGCGACGCCGCGUGCGAGAUGAAGGCCUUCGGGUUGUAAAUCGCUGUCAGUGGGGAGGAAAUGCCGGUGGGUUCUCCCAUCGGUUUGACCUAUCCGCAGAGGAAGGACGGGCUAAGUUCGUGCCAGCAGCCGCGGUAAGACGAACCGUCCAAACGUUAUUCGGAAUCACUGGGCUUAAAGGGUGCGUAGGCGGCCCGGAAAGUUGGGUGUGAAAGCCCUCGGCUCAACCGAGGAAUUGCGCCCAAAACUGCCGGGCUCGAGGAAGACAGAGGUGAGCGGAACUUAGGGUGGAGCGGUGAAAUGCGUUGAUAUCCUAAGGAACACCAGUAGCGAAAGCGGCUCACUGGGUCUUUUCUGACGCUGAUGCACGAAAGCUAGGGGAGCGAAGAG
This 425-nucleotide ribosomal RNA is filed under the name uncultured bacterium. RNAcentral's name for it is "bacterial SSU rRNA". It matches the Rfam family "Bacterial small subunit ribosomal RNA", at positions 355 to 775 of the family's 1533-position model. The record is from RNAcentral.